Molecule: transfer RNA, 70 nt
Filed under: Eremias arguta (steppe-runner)
Lineage: Eukaryota; Metazoa; Chordata; Lepidosauria; Squamata; Lacertidae
Description: tRNA-Ser
Rfam family: tRNA
About the family: Transfer RNA (tRNA) molecules are approximately 80 nucleotides in length. Their secondary structure includes four short double-helical elements and three loops (D, anti-codon, and T loops).
Source: RNAcentral
AGGGGAGAAGCUGUUGGAAGUAUGGUUGGCUUGAAACCAGUUAGAGGGGGUUCGAGUCCUCCCUCCCUUG